AGCGAACGCUGGCGGCAGGCUUAACACAUGCAAGUCGAACGGGCUUCUUCGGACGUCCGUGGCAGACGGGUGAGUAACACGUGGGAACGUGCCCUUCGGUUCGGAAUAACUCAGGGAAACUUGAGCUAAUACCGGAUACGCCCUUUUGGGGAAAGGUUUACUGCCGAAGGAUCGGCCCGCGUCUGAUUAGCUUGUUGGUGGGGUAACGGCCUACCAAGGCGACGAUCAGUAGCUGGUCUGAGAGGAUGAUCAGCCACACUGGGACUGAGACACGGCCCAGACUCCUACGGGAGGCAGCAGUGGGGAAUAUUGGACAAUGGGCGCAAGCCUGAUCCAGCCAUGCCGCGUGAGUGAUGAAGGCCUUAGGGUUGUAAAGCUCUUUUGUCCGGGACGAUAAUGACGGUACCGGAAGAAUAAGCCCCGGCUAACUUCGUG
This 435-nucleotide ribosomal RNA is filed under the name uncultured bacterium. RNAcentral's name for it is "partial 16S ribosomal RNA". It matches the Rfam family "Bacterial small subunit ribosomal RNA", at positions 29 to 507 of the family's 1533-position model. The record is from RNAcentral.